GGUCCAGACUCCUACGGGAGGCAGCAGUGGGGAAUAUUGGACAAUGGGGGGAACCCUGAUCCAGCGACGCCGCGUGAGUGAAGAAGUAUUUCGGUAUGUAAAGCUCUAUCAGCAGGGAAGAAAGAAAUGACGGUACCUGACUAAGAAGCCCCGGCUAACUACGUGCCAGCAGCCGCGGUAAUACGUAGGGGGCGAGCGUUAUCCGGAUUCACUGGGUGUAAAGGGAGCGUAGACGGCCGUGCAAGCCAGGAGUGAAAGCCCGGGGCCCAACCCCGGGACUGCUCUUGGAACUGUGCGGCUGGAGUGCGGGAGGGGCAGGCGGAAUUCCUGGUGUAGCGGUGAAAUGCGUAGAUAUCAGGAGGAACACCGGCGGCGAAGGCGGCCUGCUGGACCGCGACUGACGUUGAGGCUCGAAAGCGUGGGGAGCGAACAGGAUUAGAUACCCCCGUAGCC
RNAcentral lists this ribosomal RNA (453 nucleotides) under uncultured bacterium. RNAcentral describes it as "bacterial SSU rRNA". It matches the Rfam family "Bacterial small subunit ribosomal RNA", at positions 328 to 795 of the family's 1533-position model. The record is from RNAcentral.